GACGAAGGUGACGAGCGUUGUUCGGAAUCACUGGGCAUAAAGCGCACGUAGGCGGCGACGUAAGUUGGGUGUGAAAUCCCUCGGCCCAACCGAGGAACUGCGCCCAGUACUGCGUUGCUUGAGGAUCCAAGGGGUGCAUGGAAUUCCCGGUGGAGCGGUGAAAUGCGUUGAUAUCGGGAGGAACUCCGGCGGCGAAAGCGGUGCACUGGUGGAUUUCUGACGCUGAGGUGCGAAAGCCGGGGAGCAAACGGG
RNAcentral lists this ribosomal RNA (252 nucleotides) under uncultured bacterium. Its description in RNAcentral is "partial 16S ribosomal RNA". It matches the Rfam family "Bacterial small subunit ribosomal RNA", at positions 524 to 776 of the family's 1533-position model. The record is from RNAcentral.